GUAAUUAAUAAAAUGACAUAAUUUUUUUAAGUCAGUAAAUCAUCUUUAUCCCUCAACAAUUGUCUAACCAAAAUUUUAUAACUUUCAAUUAACAUAUUUCAUACACAAAUCAAAAUGAAUAAUAAUGAUUUGAUAUCCAAUUAUAUCAUAUCAAUUAUUUUUAUUUGUUUCAUUUGUUCUUUCAUCUCUAUGUGAUCUAAUAUUUACAAGUGAAGCUUCAAAUAAUCCAUAUAAAAAGGAUUCACAUAUGUCGAUUAUAACUAAAAAGAUAAUAUAUAUUUAUGAGUCUGUAAAAACAUUCAAUCAGCUGCAAAGAUGAAUGGUGAUCCAUAGAAUUGUAUAAAAAUGAUAUAAAUAUCGUAAAAAUAGGAAAAACAAUCUUAAUAGACGUUUAUUUUUUAUAUUUUAAACUUCUUUGGUUUAAGCUUAUUCUUUCUAUCUGAACUAUAGCUAGUUUAAAUAUUUAAAAUGUUAUUAGUAUUAUAGAUUGAU
This 492-nucleotide long non-coding RNA is filed under the name Capsella grandiflora. RNAcentral describes it as "long non-coding RNA (CGRA_LNC000372)". The record is from RNAcentral. Lineage: Eukaryota; Viridiplantae; Streptophyta; Magnoliopsida; Brassicales; Brassicaceae.